Molecule: ribosomal RNA, 824 nt
Filed under: uncultured bacterium
Lineage: Bacteria
Description: bacterial SSU rRNA
Rfam family: Bacterial small subunit ribosomal RNA
Source: RNAcentral
AGAGUUUGAUCAUGGCUCAGAAUGAACGCUGGCGGCGUGCUUUACACAUGCAAGUCGAGCGAGGCGGGUAGCAAUACCCAGUCGAGCGGCGAACGGGUGAGUAACGCGUGGAUUAUCUACCCUGAGGUGGGGGAUAACCCGGCGAAAGCCGGGCUAAUACCGCAUAACAUCGAAAGAUCAAAGGGGGAGCAAUCUCCCGCCAUUGGAGGAGUCCGCGUCCGAUUAGCUAGUUGGUAGGGUAAUGGCCUACCAAGGCGACGAUCGGUAGCCGGCCUGAGAGGGUGAUCGGCCACACUGGAACUGAGACACGGUCCAGACUCCUACGGGAGGCAGCAGUGGGGAAUUUUGCGCAAUGGGCGAAAGCCUGACGCAGCAACGCCGCGUGGAGGAUGACGGUCCUUGGAUCGUAAACUCCUGUCAGCAGGGAAAAAGGGGACCGGGCUCAUACCCCGGUUCAUUGAUUGUACCUGCAGAGGAAGCCCCGGCUAACUCUGUGCCAGCAGCCGCGGUAAUACAGAGGGGGCAAGCGUUAUUCGGAAUUAUUGGGCGUAAAGGGCGCGUAGGCGGCUCGACAAGUGGAAGGUGAAAUCCCUCGGCUUAACCGAGGAACUGCCCUCCAAACUGUUUUGCUUGAGGCCGGGAGAGGUGAGUGGAAUUCCCAGUGUAGCGGUGAAAUGCGUAGAUAUUGGGAGGAACACCAGUGGCGAAGGCGGCUCACUGGACCGGUUCUGACGCUGAGGCGCGAAAGCGUGGGGAGCAAACGGGAUUAGAUACCCCGGUAGUCCACGCCGUAAACGAUGAGAACUAGGUGUUGUGGGUGUUGA